Molecule: long non-coding RNA, 652 nt
Filed under: Arabidopsis thaliana (thale cress)
Lineage: Eukaryota; Viridiplantae; Streptophyta; Magnoliopsida; Brassicales; Brassicaceae
Description: long non-coding RNA (ATHA_LNC000043)
Source: RNAcentral
UUUCUUCCAUUGAAAGAAAGAGAGAGAUGAAUGAUGAGUCUGAGAGAAUAAUGAACAAGUAAGGAAUGUGGAUAUGUGUAACUGUGUGUGUUAUAUAUAUAUAUAUGAGUGAUGAUGGAUUUAGUAGACAAAAAUGUUGAAAUGUGGUCGGUUCAACCUGAUUUUAUUUUGGUUUGUUGCGAGUUUAGAGACAAUACUCUAUCGGUUUGAUUUGGUUUGCUAUGCUUUAUGUUACAUUGUUUGCUUACAUUAGUGAAAGGUUCGGUUAUGAACGAAUUUUGGUUUGGUUUGUCUAUAAAAAACGAUGUAAAAAUUGAAACGAUAUAAAAUAAAUUCUACAUUUAGAAAUUGGGAAAUGGUUAAAUGAGCGGUAUUGCCAUCAAAGCUGGGUCCAGUUGUGCGUUAUUUUUAAUUUUAUUAUCCUCGUGUUUCGGAUUGUGGAGAUUUAUUUAAUUAUCUCUUACUUUGGUUGCUUCCACAGAUUUGGAUCUUUAGAAGAAGAGCUUUCACGCGCCAUGUCGACUGGUUUAGACUUUAGUGGACUCAUCACUCACUUAAGUGGAUCAACCUCGCAUCUAGAUUGGAUUUUUUUGUUUGUUUGAUAAAUGAGAUUUGGCACGUUAAAUUUGUUUGUUUAAGAGCUAGACGUUUG